Molecule: ribosomal RNA, 292 nt
Filed under: uncultured bacterium
Lineage: Bacteria
Description: partial 16S ribosomal RNA
Rfam family: Bacterial small subunit ribosomal RNA
Source: RNAcentral
GUGCCAGCCGCCGCGGUAAUACGGAGGGUGCAAGCGUUGUCCGGAAUCACUGGGCGUAAAGGGUGCGCAGGCGGUUUGUUAAGCGAGAUGUGAAAGCCCCGGGCUCAACCUGGGAACUGCAUUUCGAACUGGCAAACUAGAGUGUGAUAGAGGGUGGUAGAAUUUCAGGUGUAGCGGUGAAAUGCGUAGAGAUCUGAAGGAAUACCGAUGGCGAAGGCAGCCACCUGGGUCAACACUGACGCUCAUGUACGAAAGCGUGGGGAGCAAACGGGAUUAGAAACCCGAGUAGUCC